RNAcentral lists this transfer RNA (71 nucleotides) under Actinoplanes awajinensis subsp. mycoplanecinus. It matches the Rfam family "tRNA". Rfam says of the family: Transfer RNA (tRNA) molecules are approximately 80 nucleotides in length. Their secondary structure includes four short double-helical elements and three loops (D, anti-codon, and T loops). Lineage: Bacteria; Bacillati; Actinomycetota; Actinomycetes; Micromonosporales; Micromonosporaceae. The record is from Rfam by way of RNAcentral.
GCGGGCGUAGCUCAGUGGCAGAGCUCCUGGCUUCCACCCAGAUCACAGGGGUUCGAUUCCCCUCACCCGCU